UACAGGAUGCCGAAUUCGGGUCCUGCGGUAACCACUCGCUGAAUAUCAGGAGAUAGCAAAAUGACC
This 66-nucleotide small RNA is filed under the name Stutzerimonas stutzeri. RNAcentral describes it as "Pseudomonas stutzeri Repression of heat shock gene expression (ROSE) element". It matches the Rfam family "Repression of heat shock gene expression (ROSE) element". Lineage: Bacteria; Pseudomonadati; Pseudomonadota; Gammaproteobacteria; Pseudomonadales; Pseudomonadaceae. The record is from Rfam by way of RNAcentral.